UACGUAGGGGGCAAGCGUUGUCCGGAUUUAUUGGGCGUAAAGGGCGCGUAGGCGGCCUGGUAAGUCGGGGGUGAAAACUCAGGGCUCAACCCUGAGACUGCCUUCGAUACUGCUGGGCUUGAGUGCUCUAGAGGGUAGUGGAAUUGCCGGUGUAGCAGUGAAAUGCGUAGAGAUCGGCAGGAACACCAGUGGCGAAGGCGACUGCCUGGGGAGUAACUGACGCUGAGGCGCGAAAGCUGGGGGAGCAAACGGG
This 253-nucleotide ribosomal RNA is filed under the name uncultured bacterium. Its description in RNAcentral is "partial 16S ribosomal RNA". It matches the Rfam family "Bacterial small subunit ribosomal RNA", at positions 524 to 776 of the family's 1533-position model. The record is from RNAcentral.